RNAcentral lists this long non-coding RNA (1390 nucleotides) under Homo sapiens (human). RNAcentral's name for it is "non-protein coding SNHG26:28". Lineage: Eukaryota; Metazoa; Chordata; Mammalia; Primates; Hominidae. The record is from RNAcentral.
CUUUUCGGCCGCGGCGCGUGACUGGGCUUGGUGGAGUUUCAAGAUGCUGAUGAACUUAAGGUCUGGCGCUUGAAAGAAUCAGUGAAGCUUUUCAAGUAGAGGAGUACUCUACUUUGAAGAAAGGAAUGGAACAGAAGGUGUCUGCAUAACUAAAUGGGGAUCUAGAGAAAGUGGAGACUGCCUCUGGAGCAGGGAGGUUCUAGAUGAAUGACUGAUGAAGACACAACAGCACGGUGGUGAGGCCAUUGAAUGCUUCUAAGACUGCACUUGGCAACAUCACAAGCUGCAGAAUCCCGUGCCACAUAUGACCUGCUGUUCACCGGUUCUUGCCAGGAUCACACCUGAGAAGAGGAAGAUAAUGGAGAUGGAAGACUUGGGAUGCUCAGGGUCCUGCUAGCCUUCAAACUGCAGGACUCUGAGCAUCCCAAGUCUUACCAUGAGUUGCUAAAAGAGAACCAGACCCAUGUUUAUCCCUUUGAAAGAAACCUGAACCAAGCCAUUCCUCUGGACUGUUCUUCCAUCCACUGGACCAAUAACUCAUAGUUUGAAGGAUUUUUACUUAAUGGAAGUGAGAAAACAGCCAGAUCAAAAGAAUUUCCAGGAGCCAAGACAGAAAACAUGCAGAGCAUUAGACAGCCUAAAUGGAGCUGGCUAGAUAUGACUCCAGUUGUGACCAAGCCAUAGUGCCCCCUAAGCUGGGUGAAGAGAACGGUGCCCAUCAGGCCAGAGAGAGCUGAAAGGGCCGUGAGGAUGCUAAGCAGGGAGUCUCCAACCCCCUGGGUACAGGCAUAGCCAGUGAUGAUGCCGCCAGACCCCAGAACUGUCAUGUAGAGGAAGACCAAGCACAAGCCAGCUAAGAAGACCAUCUGCCUGCAGUAGGCUUCCCAUCCCUCAUGGCACAUGCAGAGCAGCCUUUGCAUGUUUUAAAGGUGAAAAGGAGGCCGGGCGCAGUGGCUCAUGCCUAUAAUCCCAGCACUUUGGGAGGCCGAGGCAGACGGAUCACGAGGUCAGGAGAUCGAGGCCAUCCUGGCUAACACGGUGAAACCCCGUCUCUACUAAAAAUACAAAACAUCAGCCGGGCAUGGUGGUGGGCGCCUGUAUUCCCAGCUACUCGAGAGGCUGAGGCGGGACAAUGGCGUGAAUCCGGGAGGCGGAGCUUGCAGUGAGUCGAGAUCGCGCCACUGCACUCCAGCCUGGGUGACAGAGCGAGACUCUGUCUCAAAAAAAAAAAAAAAAAAAAAAGGUGAAAAGGAAAACCUGUGUUUGUGGUCUGUUCUUCAAGGUUAAACUUGUGGUCCUUUGGCUUUUCCAAAGGCCUAGGCUUGUAGACGAAUCCAUCAUUAAUUUCCCAACAGUCCAUUUCACCCAAAACAAAAUCCAAACAAGCUUU